UACGUAGGCAGCAAGCGUUGUUCGGAGUUACUGGGCGUAAAGGGUGUGUAGGCGGUUUUUUAAGUUUGGUGUGAAAUCUCCCGGCUCAACUGGGAGGGUGCGCCGAAUACUGAAAGACUAGAGUGCGGGAGAAGAAAGUGGAAUUCCUGGUGUAGCGGUGAAAUGCGUAGAUAUCAGGAGGAACACCGGUGGUGUAGACGGCUUUCUGGACCGUAACUGACGCUGAGACACGAAAGCGUGGGUAGCAAACAGG
Molecule: ribosomal RNA, 253 nt
Filed under: uncultured bacterium
Lineage: Bacteria
Description: partial 16S ribosomal RNA
Rfam family: Bacterial small subunit ribosomal RNA
Source: RNAcentral